GACGAACGCUGGCGGCGUGCCUAACACAUGCAAGUCGAACGGGGGGAACAUGAAGUAUUUCGGUACGGAAUGCGCCCCUAGUGGCGAACGGGUGAGUAACACGUGGGCAACCUGCCCCAGACUGGGGGAUAACAUUGUGAAAACAGUGCUAAUACCGCAUGACAGGGUUCCGGGCAUCCGGGACCCUUGAAAGGAGAAAUCCGGUCAGGGAUGGGCCCGCGUCCAAUUAGCUAGUUGGCGGGGUAACGGCCCACCAAGGCGACGAUUGGUAGCCGAACUGAGAGGUUGAUCGGCCACAUUGGGACUGAGACACGGCCCAGACUCCUACGGGAGGCAGCAGUGGGGAAUAUUGGGCAAUGGGCGAAAGCCUGACCCAGCGACGCCGCGUGAAGGAUGAAGGUCUUCGGAUUGUAAACUUCUUUGAUCAGGGAAGAAAGAAAUGACGGUACCUGAAAACAAGCCACGGCUAACUACGUG
RNAcentral lists this ribosomal RNA (477 nucleotides) under uncultured bacterium. Its description in RNAcentral is "bacterial SSU rRNA". It matches the Rfam family "Bacterial small subunit ribosomal RNA", at positions 28 to 507 of the family's 1533-position model. The record is from RNAcentral.